AUGCCGUGAGACGUCCUACCGGUGGGCUUAGCUCUUCACCGGGCGGUCCANCUAAUAUCCCAUCGCGGUGCUCUUCAUURAGUGUCGAGGUGGGCCGGUACGUUUACUUUGAACAAAUUAKAGUGCUUAAAGCAGGCUAUCUUCGCCUGAAUACUGUGUGCAUGGAAUAAUGGAAUAGGACCUCGGUUCUAUUUUGUUGGUKUUCGGAACCCCGAGGUAAUGAUUAAUAGGGACAGAUGGGGGCAUUWGUAUUGCGACGUUAGAGGUGAAAUUCUUGGAUCGUCGCAAGACGGACAGAAGCGAAAGCAUUUGCCAAAAAUGUUUUCAUUAAUCAAGAACGAAAGUUAGAGGUUCGAAGGCGAUCASAUACCGCCCUAGUUCUAACCAUAAACGAUGCCAGCUAGCGAUCCGCCGAAGUUCCUCCGAUGACUCGGCGGGCASCUUCCGGGAAACCHAAGCUUUUGGGUUCCGGGGGAAGUAUGGUUGCAAAGCUGAAACUUAAAGGAAUUGACGGAAGGGCACCACCAGGAGUGGAGCCUGCGGCUUAA
This 548-nucleotide ribosomal RNA is filed under the name Agrothereutes abbreviatus. Its description in RNAcentral is "SSU rRNA". It matches the Rfam family "Eukaryotic small subunit ribosomal RNA", at positions 660 to 1204 of the family's 1831-position model. The record is from RNAcentral. Lineage: Eukaryota; Metazoa; Arthropoda; Insecta; Hymenoptera; Ichneumonidae.